CACCUCAUAUGCACGCGGCUAUACACAUUGAACAUACAUUAGAACGUGUACGGGAUGCCCGUCUCUCGCACCGCUGGCCGCUGCGUCGCCGUGCAGCGGCGAUUCUUGGGGCUGUCUGCACUGUCUCCCUCCAACAGCAACUCAGCGCUCGCCCACUCUGCUCGAUUCACGUGCACUGCCGAGGCGGAUCGAGAUCAAGCUUUCUCAGGCUUGCCGACAGACGUGUGUGCGGACACAUCCUUCGAGAGGUUCCGGGGGCCGGACAGCGGCAGCGGCAGAGGCAACCGUUGCAACAAUAGCCCAAAGCGAGGCAGAGGGACUGCGGCCGGGCUGGGACGCUCUCAAGGGAGCUCCAAGGUGCAUGUCUUCUCCAGGCCAGCACAGCAACUCAGCGCCGCGCAACUGGCCCACUUUACUCAUUUGCGAGGGCUGCUACGACGUCUGUCCAGCCUUCGGCAAGCAUCAAGCAAUGCCGUGGAGGCAGCCUCCAGGGCUGCUGCAGCGCACCACCUGCUCUCUCGAGAAGGGGAAAGUGGCUCAAAGUCGCCUCAAACUCGGACCUCGACGGCGCCAGUGGACUCGCUUUAUAGCGAGCUGUUCGUCGUGAGUCGCGUAGUCGCUUCUCCUCACCAUCACGCGCUUUCUGCGGAGAGUGGCGCCGCCGCCUGCGGUGACGAAGUCUUCACAGGGGUCAACCAUGCAUUUCACAAGCGCAUCAACCCCGCCGGGGCGACGCUGCGCGGAAUCUUGAAGGGGUGUGCGGAGCAGAACGCGCUCGGCGCUGCGGCCGCCAGCGGCUGUAUCUACGCCGACGUGGCAGACGUGUUUCUCCUGGCUGCUCGCUGUUCGCCUAUGACGUCUUACCACGCACUGGAGUCGGGCGAAAAGGCUGCUGCGCAGGCAUCAGCCACAUGCAGCUCUUGUGCAACAGCCUGUAGCGAUGCCGGCCCGGCCGCUGCGCAGGCCGUCGCCAUCUUUCCCUGCCCGGAGUGCUGGAAUCAUUUAUGCCACGUGGCGCGUGCGCGUCUUCAAGAAGAGCGUACGCCACUGCGCUUGUUCGUCUACGCUGCCUCGCCGGCUGUCACGGUGCACCUCUUCGCUGUAGCGCAGCAGCGCGUAAAGAUGAUGGAGGCGCCUGUGGACGUCUGCAUUGUGUCGAGCUAGCCGCCGCUGCCCGCUUGUUCUUUCGCCCUCCCCUUUUCAUUGUUGUCUCUGUGUUUGGGUGUGACACAUGGCGCAACGGUCUCCUUUGGCGAUCACAUGGCGCUUGCUCUUCACAUUUUAACGUCGACAUGGAGUUUGUGAAGGAUAUUGCCGAGUCGGAUGCGACGCAGCAACUUG
RNAcentral lists this unclassified non-coding RNA (1341 nucleotides) under Leishmania donovani. RNAcentral describes it as "gene:LdHU3.29.3020(CDS-product:hypothetical_prote in_conserved)". The record is from RNAcentral. Lineage: Eukaryota; Euglenozoa; Kinetoplastea; Trypanosomatida; Trypanosomatidae.